GUGGGGAAUAUUGGACAAUGGGGGGAACCCUGAUCCAGCCAUGCCGCGUGUGUGAAGAAGGCCUUUUGGUUGUAAAGCACUUUAAGCGAGGAGGAGGCUACCGAGAUUAAUACUCUUGGAUAGUGGACGUUACUCGCAGAAUAAGCACCGGCUAACUCUGUGCCAGCAGCCGCGGUAAUACAGAGGGUGCAAGCGUUAAUCGGAUUUACUGGGCGUAAAGCGCGCGUAGGUGGCCAAUUAAGUCAAAUGUGAAAUCCCCGAGCUUAACUUGGGAAUUGCAUUCGAUACUGGUUGGCUAGAGUAUGGGAGAGGAUGGUAGAAUUCCAGGGGUAGCGGUGAAAUGCGUAGAGAUCUGGAGGAAUACCGAUGGCGAAGGCAGCCAUCUGGCCUAAUACUGACACUGAGGUGCGAAAGCAUGGGGAGCAAACAGGAUUAGAUACCCGAGUAGUCC
Molecule: ribosomal RNA, 451 nt
Filed under: uncultured bacterium
Lineage: Bacteria
Description: partial 16S ribosomal RNA
Rfam family: Bacterial small subunit ribosomal RNA
Source: RNAcentral